AUUGAACGCUGGCGGAAUGCUUUACACAUGCAAGUCGAGCGGCAGCGCGGCCUUCGGGCUGGCGGCGAGCGGCGAACGGGUGAGUAAUGCAUCGGAACAUGCCCAGUCGUGGGGGAUAACACUUCGAAAGAAGUGCUAAUACCGCAUACGUCCUGAGGGGGAAAGCGGGGGAUCGCAAGACCUCGCGCGAUUGGAGUGGCCGAUGUCAGAUUAGCUAGUUGGGGGGGUAAAGGCCUACCAAGGCGACGAUCUGUAGCUGGUCUGAGAGGAUGAUCAGCCACACUGGGACUGAGACACGGCCCAGACUCCUACGGGAGGCAGCAGUGGGGAAUUUUGGACAAUGGGGGCAACCCUGAUCCAGCCAUUCCGCGUGAGUGAAGAAGGCCUUCGGGUUGUAAAGCUCUUUCGGCAGGAACGAAACGGUGGGCUCUAACAUAGUCCGCUAAUGACGGUACCUGAAGAAGAAGCACCGGCUAACUACGUG
Molecule: ribosomal RNA, 484 nt
Filed under: uncultured bacterium
Lineage: Bacteria
Description: partial 16S ribosomal RNA
Rfam family: Bacterial small subunit ribosomal RNA
Source: RNAcentral